Molecule: ribosomal RNA, 460 nt
Filed under: uncultured bacterium
Lineage: Bacteria
Description: partial 16S ribosomal RNA
Rfam family: Bacterial small subunit ribosomal RNA
Source: RNAcentral
CCUACGGGAGGCAGCAGUGAGGACUAUUGGUCAAUGGGCUCGAGCCUGAACCAGCCACGCCGCGUUAAGGCUGACUGCCCUACGGUUUGUCACCUUCUUUUAUAAAGGACUCAAGUGAGACACUUUUGCCUUUUUUGAUGUACUUUAUGCCUAAGGUUCGCCUAACUCCGUUCCAGCAGCCGCGGUAAUACGGAGGAUCAUAGCGUUAUCCGGAUUUCUUUGGUUUAAAGGUAUCGUAGAUGGGUUGUUCAGUCAGUUGUGAAAGUUUGCGGCUCAACCGUAAAAUUGAAUUCGAUACUGGCAGUCUUGAGUACAGUUGAGGUAGGCGGAAUGCGUGGUGUAGCGGUGAAAUGCUUAGAGAUCACGAAGAACACCGAUUGCGAAGGCAGCUUACCAAGCUGCCACUGACAUUGAUGCUCGAAAGUGUGGGUAUCAAACAGGAUUAGAUACCCGAGUAGUC